AUAACUAGAUAAGUUCAUGGAGGAUAGGUCUAUCAAUUGCUAUUAGCCAAGAUGACCAGGAAUGAAACCCCAUGCUCCGGGGGAUCCUUAACCCUCUGACUGCCAGAUGCUGGGACUGGACAGCAGGGAAUGGAUCACUUGAUAGGUGCCCUAUCCUGCUGAUUCCCUUUGAAGCUUUUAGCACUGGCCACUGUUAGAAGACCGGAUUACUAGGCUAGAUGGACCAUUGGUCUGACCCAGUACAGCCAAACUUAUGUUCUUAUCAUGUUUCUCCUCCACAUUUGUACACUAAUAUUUUUACUCAUGUUUUUUUGCAGAUGGUGAUCAAUGUGAAAUAGUUACUCAGUAGCAAGUCACUAGAUCAUAUACAUUUUACAGAUUUAGUAUAUAUAUAGAUACUUUUUUGGGUAGGCUGAUGCUGGGAGACAAGUUAGUAGACAAGGGAGCUGAAGGCUAGGGCGAGGCUCAAGUCAUUGACUGUUUAAGUGCAAAUGUAGCUGAGUAUCUCUUCAUUUGCAUGCAUAAUCACAGUAAUCACAUUCUUUAAUAUAGGUGUACAUUUACAUGCAGACCCCCAACGUAACUCCUUAAAAAAUUUGGCCCUGCAUAUUUGCCAGGACCCUAUUUCCAGUGGUUCAUGUUGACUUACUGAGCAGUUGCUAGAGCAAUGUUAUUCUGUUUAUGUACCCUCCACAGGCUCAGCUCUGCACGAUGCUGGUACAAACGGAGUAAAUACAGACAGAGCCCUAUGUAGAUACAAAAUUUGUAUCCGCAUCCGAUCUGCAAACAUGGUCUGCGGACAACCGUAUCUGCAGAUGAAGAUAUUCACGGAUAUAAAGCAGUGUUCUCUCAGCAUGGAAUGGCAGCCACCUCUUGAAGUGACAACUUGAUCAGUGGAUCCUACAAUAAGUUGAAGCUGAUGGUUCAAGGGACACUUGGCAGACACGCACUGCUGCUAAAAGGUAACUGGCAUAUCUCAAUGGCACAACAAUUUCAAUAGAAUUUCAACUUAAAUAGUAGCAAAAGAGAGUUGGGGCAGAAGAAAUGAUAAAGAGGGCAAGAAGCAAAUAGUAAAGUAUAUUGUCUGGAGUUACCAGGCUCAACAUUUGACCUGACCUGACUUCUCGCUAUUCCGCAUGUGGUUUUUGCACAAAAUAAAAAUGCUACCAUGUAUUGUUUUAAAUUAAAAAAAAAAAGUCACUUCCAGCACCUCCACCUAGAUGUGCAAAUAAACCAAAAGAACAGUGUAAAAAGCAAACACCCUCCUCUCCACGAUGGGAAAAAAAAAGACAUGUGUUAAACCUUUAAGGCUCAUUAAUACGAGGAAGAAAGGCUUUUAAAAGCCUAUCAUGAAAAACACCUUGAUGUUCUUUGAAGUGCACAUACUCUCCUUUAAUUUACUUUUACACUUAGUUGCUUGGGUUUUUGUUGUCUCUAGAAUGCCUGCUUUACAAAUAGGUUUCUCAGGUCAAAAUAGCUGUAAAAAGUGAGUAGGCUUUGUCAGGUUGCAAAUAUAUAGUAUGCAACAAAUGUAGUCAUCUUCAAGCCUAUUCAUCAAAAUUGCUUCAAACAAGUGCUACCUUUAAGAGAGUGGUUUUAAUUUAAUUUUUCUCCCCACCCUAUCCUAAUAAUCCUUGACAUCAAAUGUUACAAUAUCAGGCGCUGGAAGAGGCAGAACUGGAACAAAUGCAAGCUCCCCCGUGGCUACUGCAUGUCAGUGCCUGGUUCUAUAUAAGCAACCUACAUCGGACUUGAGCAGUGCAACGUAGCCUCAGUGCUGCUUUUUCCCCUCUCCCUUGGGAAAAACUGUCCCGCGUACAGAGGCAUCUGAAAGCAAGUGUAACAUAGUUGAUAAAAUACAACCACUUCAUAGUGACUGACUCCUUAGCUGAACUCUCUGCCUAAAGAAAGUCAGUCUGUAAAAGCAGAGAUUCAUGGUGAGUAGCUACACUGGCAACAAGCCAGGAGCACAGUCUAAAGAGAAGACCUCUUUCCACCACAAGAUGGAGAUAAAGCAGACAAUUUGUUCUUCUCCUCGAGUGGCAGUCACAUAUCAAAAUCUGUACAGCUACAGCAGCUGAGGCUUAACACUGACUAUUUCAUCUUUGCUUAAUCAAGUCACUGCACUUUCUGUGGAAGGACCUUUUCCAUUCAAAAUUAAAUGGAACAUACAGAAUAUAAUAUUGUGUGUGUUUCUUGUCUGAAUGAAUAAUAAACCUUCCACAGCUGGAGCCAGAUCAUGUCUUGUGUCCCUUCACACGGGAUGGCCAGGAGUGGGGAGUUGUGGCUGGUUACAACCUGGCUUCCAGCCACCAUGUACCCCCAUGCAGGAACAGGGCAAUCACAAUCUUCCUUUUGCUCACAGGGCCACAAGCCACCCUAAAGUGUUGCAUGAAAGAGAUAGGACCAUAAUCGCAGCCAGGGCUUCUUUUCUACACUGGCACUUUACAGCACAGUAACUUUCUCGCCCAGAGUGUGAAAAAACACUCCCCAUGAGCACUGCAGGUUUCAGCACUGUAACAUGCCAGUAUAGACAAUGCACCAGCGCUGGAAGCAUAGCUAGCCCCUUGUGGAGGUGGGGUUUUUUAGAGUACUGGGUGAGCUCUUUCCCAGCACUAUGCUGUGACUACACAAGUCAUGUUAAAGCGCUGCCACAGCAGCAGUGCUUAAACAUUGCCAGUGAAGACAUGCCCCCAGAUAGUUGACCAGGCUCUUUGUGGAGUAUGUGGCACCAUCCUAGAGGCGCAAACUCCUUCUAUCUAUCGGGAAGCAACUGUGCAUCCCAAGUCAGAGUCCCGCAUGGAACUCCCUGUGAAUUGUUACAGCUCCAUCCCCAGUACAGGAUGUGUAA
This is a non-coding RNA of Chelonoidis abingdonii (Abingdon island giant tortoise), 2851 nucleotides long. The record is from RefSeq and is a predicted model, not a curated record. NCBI's taxonomy places the organism in Eukaryota, Metazoa, Chordata, Testudines, Testudinidae.